UACGUAGGGCGCAAGCGUUGUCCGGAAUUAUUGGGCGUAAAGGGCUCGUAGGCGGUUUGUCGCGUCGGGAGUGAAAACUCAGGGCUUAACCCUGAGCCUGCUUCCGAUACGGGCAGACUAGAGGUAUGCAGGGGAGAACGGAAUUCCUGGUGUAGCGGUGAAAUGCGUAGAUAUCUGGAGGAAUACCGGUGGCGAAGGCGGCAUCCUGGACCAUUACUGACGCUGAAUCGCGAAAGCUAGGGGAGCAAACGGG
This 253-nucleotide ribosomal RNA is filed under the name uncultured bacterium. Its description in RNAcentral is "partial 16S ribosomal RNA". It matches the Rfam family "Bacterial small subunit ribosomal RNA", at positions 524 to 776 of the family's 1533-position model. The record is from RNAcentral.